AAAUUCAUUUUACUUCGACAAAGGUUGAAGUAUGUAGCAGGCGAGCGUCAGGGACAAGUGCAGCUAUCUCUUUGAUCACAUCGCUUUAAACAUUUUUCAGCUUUAAGCUUGUCUUACAAGUCAGCUCUAUCAGUCUAUUAAUUGUUUCACUGUACCUAAUAUCUUACACGAAGGCACCUUGAAAAACAGCAGGAGAAAGCACAUUUGUUUAAGUCCUGCGAUGGCUAGCACGGCAGCUAAUCUCCUUGCAAAUUAUAAUCAUAGUUGUAGUUCAUCCAUUAGGCUGGAAAAGACAAGAUUCCCAAGUGGCCUUGGUGCCUUUUCCAGUUCCCGGGAGACCCACCAACCCUCGGCGUGUGUUGCCUGCGCACCCGGAGCGUUCUUGCUAAUCAGGUCAAUGAUUAGCGCCUGGCUCCAGGGACCUGCCAAGAGUGUUAGGGAGCCUCCAAACGGAGCACGCUCACGGAGAAUCUCCCGUUCAGAAACAUCGCUUAGUCCUCAUUUACUCACUGGGAACCUCGGAGGAUUUCAGCUGAUGUUUUUCUCUCCUUAGACAGUGAGGAGCUCAACAUAACAGGGAAAAGGAGCACAGGAUGCAGCUACUUAGAGGGUGUUGAUUGAAAACUUCGAUCUCCCCACCCCAUCACGGUUGAUUUGACGGAUUUCUCACCUCGUUCACAGAGAAAAUUUCAAUUAAGGUCUUUGAUUACUUGAGAAAAGUGAGUGAGGUGGGGCCAAGAUGGUUGACUAGAAGCAGCUAGUGUGUGCCACUCUCACAAAUAGCAGGAAGAGUGGUGAGACACUAGCUCUUCAACCGGAACAUCCAGGUGGACACAUAAGGAUUCAUCAGUGACAUAGUGUGACCUUCGGAUCACGGAGAAGAGUGAGACAGAUCAACCAUUCACCCAGGAGUGGCACAGACCCAGGGGAAUCCCCCUACAAGAAAAUGAAAUGAUGCAUCUAACAG
RNAcentral lists this long non-coding RNA (967 nucleotides) under Homo sapiens (human). Its description in RNAcentral is "HSALNT0327206". The record is from RNAcentral. Lineage: Eukaryota; Metazoa; Chordata; Mammalia; Primates; Hominidae.